GAUGAACGCUGGCGGCGUGCUUAACACAUGCAAGUCGAACGGGAAACCUUUUAUUGAAGCUUCGGCAGAUUUAGCUGGUUUCUAGUGGCGGACGGGUGAGUAACGCGUGGGUAACCUGCCUUAUACAGGGGGAUAACAGUCAGAAAUGGCUGCUAAUACCGCAUAAGCGCACAGAGCUGCAUGGCUCAGUGUGAAAAACUCCGGUGGUAUAAGAUGGACCCGCGUUGGAUUAGCUGGUUGGUGGGGUAACGGCCCACCAAGGCGACGAUCCAUAGCCGGCCUGAGAGGGUGAACGGCCACAUUGGGACUGAGACACGGCCCAGACUCCUACGGGAGGCAGCAGUGGGGAAUAUUGCACAAUGGGGGGAACCCUGAUGCAGCGACGCCGCGUGAAGGAAGAAGUAUCUCGGUAUGUAAACUUCUAUCAGCAGGGAAGAUAAUGACGGUACCUGACUAAGAAGCCCCGGCUAACUACGUG
Molecule: ribosomal RNA, 478 nt
Filed under: uncultured bacterium
Lineage: Bacteria
Description: partial 16S ribosomal RNA
Rfam family: Bacterial small subunit ribosomal RNA
Source: RNAcentral